UCUAAUGUGGCAGAAUAGUGCAAUAAAUUUAAGCUUUAUUUAUAAAGUUAACCUUUCUUUAGAA
This 64-nucleotide transfer RNA is filed under the name Lycus dentipes. RNAcentral's name for it is "tRNA-Leu". The record is from RNAcentral. Lineage: Eukaryota; Metazoa; Arthropoda; Insecta; Coleoptera; Lycidae.